AAAGAGAGGCGAGACCGCGAGGUGGAGCAAAUCUCAAAAAGCCGUCCCAGUUCGGAUCGCAGGCUGCAACCCGCCUGCGUGAAGUUGGAAUCGCUAGUAAUCGCGGAUCAGCAUGCCGCGGUGAAUACGUUCCCGGGCCUUGUACACACCGCCCGUCACACCAUGAGAGUCGGGAACACCCGAAGUCCGUAGCCUAACCGCAAGGGGGGCGCGGCCGAAGGUGGGUUCGAUAAUUGGGGUGAAGUCGUAACAAGGUAGC
This 259-nucleotide ribosomal RNA is filed under the name uncultured bacterium. Its description in RNAcentral is "partial 16S ribosomal RNA". It matches the Rfam family "Bacterial small subunit ribosomal RNA", at positions 1241 to 1500 of the family's 1533-position model. The record is from RNAcentral.